Molecule: ribosomal RNA, 301 nt
Filed under: uncultured bacterium
Lineage: Bacteria
Description: partial 16S ribosomal RNA
Rfam family: Bacterial small subunit ribosomal RNA
Source: RNAcentral
CAGCAGCCGCGGGAAUACAGAGGGUGCGAGCGUUAAUCGGAUUUACUGGGCGUAAAGCGUGCGUAGGCGGCUUCUUAAGUCGGAUGUGAAAUCCCUGAGCUUAACUUAGGAAUUGCAUUCGAUACUGGGAAGCUAGAGUAUGGGAGAGGAUGGUAGAAUUCCAGGUGUAGCGGUGAAAUGCGUAGAGAUCUGGAGGAAUACCGAUGGCGAAGGCAGCCAUCUGGCCUAAUACUGACGCUGAGGUACGAAAGCAUGGGGAGCAAACAGGAUUAGAUACCCCAGUAGUCCCUGUCUCUUAUAA